This 372-nucleotide ribosomal RNA is filed under the name Picochlorum sp. CHLO2. RNAcentral describes it as "partial large subunit ribosomal RNA". It matches the Rfam family "Bacterial large subunit ribosomal RNA", at positions 2098 to 2468 of the family's 2925-position model. The record is from RNAcentral. Lineage: Eukaryota; Viridiplantae; Chlorophyta; Trebouxiophyceae.
GCUUGACUGUAGCUUGGAAUUGGGUUCGGGCUUUUCUUGCGCAGACUAGGUGGGAGGCUAUGAAGAAAUAUUUUUGGAUAUUUUGGAGCCAUCAGUGAGAGACCACUCUGAAGAAGCUAGAAUUCUAAUGGCGUUCCUUGAAGCAGGACGCUUGACAGUUUCAGGUGGGCAGUUUGACUGGGGCGGUCACCUCCUAAAAGGUAACGGAGGUGUGCAAAGGUUCCCUCAGGCUGGACGGAAAUCAGCCGUAGAGUGUAAAGGCAGAAGGGAGCUUGACUGCAAGACCUACAAGUCGAGCAGGGGCGAAAGCCGGCCUUAGUGAUCCGACGGUUCCGUGUGGAAGGGCCGUCGCUAAACGGAUAAAAGUUACUC